CGUCCCGCCGGCGACCGGCGCACGGGUGAGUAACACGUAUGCAACCUGGCCGCCACAGGGGGAUAACCCGCGGAAACGCGGCCUAAUACCCCGUGACGCCACCGGAGGGCAUCCUCCGGUGGCCAAAGGAGCGAUCCGGUGGCGGAUGGGCAUGCGGCGCAUUAGCUAGACGGCGGGGUGACGGCCCACCGUGGCGACGAUGCGUAGGGGUUCUGAGGGGAAGGCCCCCCACACUGGGACUGAGACACGGCCCAGACUCCUACGGAAGGCAGCAG
This 275-nucleotide ribosomal RNA is filed under the name uncultured bacterium. RNAcentral's name for it is "partial 16S ribosomal RNA". It matches the Rfam family "Bacterial small subunit ribosomal RNA", at positions 81 to 354 of the family's 1533-position model. The record is from RNAcentral.